UAGAGGAUGUUUCGGGUGCGGCGCGGGUCUAAGUCCUUUGGAACAGGGCGUCAUAGAGGGUGAGAAUCCCGUAUGUGACCCGUGAUCAAGCCCAUGUGAAACCCCUUCGACGAGUCGAGUUGUUUGGGAAUGCAGCUCAAAAUGGGUGGUAAAUUUCAUCUAAAGCUAAAUACCGGCCAGAGACCGAUAGCGCACAAGUAGAGUGAUCGAAAGAUGAAAAGCACUUUGGAAAGAGAGUCAAAAAGUACGUGAAAUUGUUGAAAGGGAAGCGCUUGCAACCAGACCUGUCCGCAGGCGAUCAACUCCCGUUCUCGGGGGUGCACUCGUCUGUGAUCAGGCCAGCAUCGGUUCGGGCGGUCGGAUAAAGGCCUUGGGAAUGUAGCUCCUUCCGGGGAGUGUUAUAGCUCUCGGUGCAAUGCGGCCAGCCCGGACCGAGGACCGCGCCUUCGGGCUAGGAUGCUGGCGUAAUGGUUGUAAGCGACCCGUCUUGAAACACGGACCAAGGAGUCUAACAUCUAUGCAAGUGUUUGGGUGUCAAACCCACACGCGUAAUGAAAGUGAACGGAGGUGAGAACCCUUAAGGGCGCAUCAUCGACCGAUCCAGAUGUCUUCGGAUGGAUUUGAGUAUGAGCAUAGCUGUUGGGACCCGAAAGAUGGUGAACUAUGCCUGAAUAGGGUGAAGCCAGGGGAAACCCUGGUGGAGGCUCGCAGCGGUUCUGACGUGCAAAUCGAUCGUCAAAUUUGGGUAUAGGGGCGAAAGACUAAUCGAACCAUC
RNAcentral lists this ribosomal RNA (775 nucleotides) under Cladonia sp. Its description in RNAcentral is "partial 28S ribosomal RNA". It matches the Rfam family "Eukaryotic large subunit ribosomal RNA", at positions 151 to 944 of the family's 3401-position model. The record is from RNAcentral. Lineage: Eukaryota; Fungi; Ascomycota; Lecanoromycetes; Lecanorales; Cladoniaceae.